Gallus gallus (chicken) is the source of this 296-nucleotide long non-coding RNA. The record is from Ensembl. NCBI's taxonomy places the organism in Eukaryota, Metazoa, Chordata, Aves, Galliformes, Phasianidae.
UCUAACCUCAGACCUGUCUACAUUUCUCCAUGGAAUGAGUGAUGCAAAGCAGUGCUUGUUAACUGCAAGGUGAAUGAAAUGCCAUCUUGGUCCUUCCUCUGCUCGAGAGGUUUGUUCCACAUCCAGAUCCUCUGCUGUUGCAUCAGGAGCUGCACACAACUGAGACCUUCCCUUCAUCUCCCUGGGAGGCUGCAGCCAGUUCAUCAAAGGGUAGUGAUCCAAGUCUCUGUCAUCUCCAGGAAUCAUUGCAGUGUGUUCACCCUUGGCUAAGCUUGAAGGAGCCCUGAAAGUUGCAG